Molecule: ribosomal RNA, 496 nt
Filed under: uncultured bacterium
Lineage: Bacteria
Description: partial 16S ribosomal RNA
Rfam family: Bacterial small subunit ribosomal RNA
Source: RNAcentral
AUGCACGCUGGCGGCGUGCCUCAUCCAUGCAAGUCGAGCGAACAGACGAGGAGCUUGCUCCUCUGACGUUAGCGGCGGACGGGUGAGUAACACGUGGAUAACCUACCUAUAAGACUGGGAUAACUUCGGAAAACCGGAGCUAAUACCGGAUAAUAUAUUGAACCGCAUGGUUCAAUAGUGAAAGACGGUUUUGCUGUCACUUAUAGAUGGAUCCGCGCCGCAUUAGCUAGUUGGUAAGGUAACGGCUUACCAAGGCAACGAUGCGUAGCCGACCUGAGAGGGUGAUCGGCCACACUGGAACUGAGACACGGUCCAGACUCCUACGGGAGGCAGCAGUAGGGAAUCUUCCGCAAUGGGCGAAAGCCUGACGGAGCAACGCCGCGUGAGUGAUGAAGGUCUUCGGAUCGUAAAACUCUGUUAUUAGGGAAGAACAAAUGUGUAAGUAACUAUGCACGUCUUGACGGUACCUAAUCAGAAAGCCACGGCUAACUACGUG